Molecule: long non-coding RNA, 1067 nt
Filed under: Pan troglodytes (chimpanzee)
Lineage: Eukaryota; Metazoa; Chordata; Mammalia; Primates; Hominidae
Description: long non-coding RNA NONPTRT008159
Source: RNAcentral
CCCCCCCAUCCUUUCCUAUGAGAAGCCACUGCUUUGGGGGCGCCGGCUAAAAAAAAUAGGGUGCGGUGGCCAGGAGGGCCCCUGCCGCGCGGGGGGCUGGGUCUGGUUGAGUCGCUGCUUUCCCGAGGGCAGCGCAGGGAUCCGGGGAAGCUGCGGCAGGGAGCGGGCCCCGGCUCCGUGGCUUUGAGGUGUAACGGGGGUGGGCUCCCUCCCUCGGAGGACAUCGUCUGUGUCCAGGUCAGAAAGUGGCCCAGGAAGGGGGCAGUUUCUGUCGCGGGUCCGGUGGGGGCGCGGCCGCGGUGCGGUCGGUGCAGCGUGGCCAAUGCGCGGCGCGCGCGGGGGACAGAGCAGGAGGCGGUCGGUCACCUCGGCCACUGCUGACCUGGGCUGGCCUCCCCCAGCCCUCCCGUGGCGGAGCCGGCAGCGAUGCUACAGGCCUAAGUUAUUGUUUGCAUAAAAAGAAUCAUGUUCCCUGUGUACAUUUAAGAAAAAAAAAAAAACGGAAAUGUCAGAAUUGUAUGGAAAUAAAACUUGUUUGAAAAUUUGGAAUAGUGCUGCUGCCAGCUUAUUUUUCUGGUACUUGUAUUUUCACAUGUUAAAUGAUCUUUAUAUAUGUUGAAUUAACAAAUAUUUUGAGUUUCUGAGAAAAAACAAAACAUAUUAAUGGUAUUGAAAUGUGUUAGUAGUCUGGCUGUGUGCCCAAAAUUCUGUUUCGCAGCAAAAGUGAAGACCUGUAUGUAAAGAAAGUAUAACAAUUAUUUCUUUGUAUUUUAGGGGCUUUAACCGGAACAUCGUCUAGCUGGUGUUAGGAAUGUUUGCUUAAUUUCCAGACUUUUUUUAAAAAAACACAUCGUGGGUUUUUUGAGGCUCCAACCUGAUUAGUGCAUGGUCAGCCCUCAAUGAAGGCUGAGGCAUCUCUGACUGAGGUGUUUUUGUUUGGUUUUGUUUUUUAAAAUCAUGUAUUUGCUACAAAGUAUUGUACUUGUCUCAAUGGGAAUGGUGUAAAAAACAAAAGGCCUUAUGUGAUCUGUAUCAUAGUUAAUAAAUCAAUCUUGUAAAAAACCAAA